This 497-nucleotide ribosomal RNA is filed under the name uncultured bacterium. RNAcentral's name for it is "partial 16S ribosomal RNA". It matches the Rfam family "Bacterial small subunit ribosomal RNA", at positions 28 to 507 of the family's 1533-position model. The record is from RNAcentral.
GAUGAACGCUGGCGGCGUGCCUAAUACAUGCAAGUCGAGCGAACAGACGAGGAUCUUGUUCCUCUGACGUUAGCGGCGGACGGGUGAGUAACACGUGGAUAACCUACCUAUAAGACUGGGAUAACUUCGGGAAACCGGAGCUAAUACCGGAUAAUAUAUUGAACCGCAUGGUGCAAUAGUGAAUGACGGUUUUGCUGUCACUUAUAGAUGGUUCCGAGCCGCAUUAGCUAGUUGGUAAGGUAACGGCUUACCAAGGCAACGAUGCGUAGCCGACCUGAGAGGGUGAUCGGCCACACUGGAACUGAGACACGGUCAAGACUCCUACGGGAGGCAGCAGUAGGGAAUCUUCCGCAAUGGGCGAAAGCUUGACGGAGCAACGCCGCGUGAGUGAUGAAGGUCUUCGGAUCGUAAAACUCUGUUAUUUGGGAAGAACAAAUGUGUAAGUAACUAUGCACGUCUUGACGGUACCGAAUCAGAAAGCCACGGCUAACUACGUG